RNAcentral lists this ribosomal RNA (985 nucleotides) under uncultured fungus. Its description in RNAcentral is "SSU rRNA". It matches the Rfam family "Eukaryotic small subunit ribosomal RNA", at positions 427 to 1444 of the family's 1831-position model. The record is from RNAcentral. Lineage: Eukaryota; Fungi.
AGCAGGCGCGCAAAUUACCCAAUCCUGAUACAGGGAGGUAGUGACAAUAAAUAACAAUACAGAACUUUCGAGUUUUGUAAUUGGAAUGAGAACAAUUUAGAUCCCUUAACGAGGAACAAUUGGAGGGCAAGUCUGGUGCCAGCAGCCGCGGUAAUUCCAGCUCCAAUAGCGUAUAUUCAAGUUGUUGCAGUUAAAAAGCUCGUAGUUGAAUUUUGGCGCUGGUUGUGUGGUUUGGACUCGCGUUCAAUACUGCAGGACUGGCGCUUUCCUUCUAGGGAACUAGCGUGCCAUUAAUUUGGUGGGCUAGGGAUCUAGGACUGUUACUUUGAAAAAAUUAGAGUGUUUAAAACGGGCUUAUGCUUGAAUACAUUAGCAUGGAAUAACGGAAUAGGACUUUGUCUUAUUUUGUUGGUUUAGGAGACAAAGUAAUGAUUAAUAGGGACGGUUAGGGGCAUUAGUAUUCCACAGUCAGAGGUGAAAUUCUUGGAUUUGUGGAAGACUAACUUCUGCGAAAGCAUUUGCCAGGCACGCUUUCAUUAAUCAGGAACGAAAGUUAGGGGAUCGAAGACGAUCAGAUACCGUCGUAGUCUUAACAGUAAACGAUGCCGAUUCAGGAUCCUAGGGUGUUAUAUUAUUGACCUCUAGGGCACUGUAUGAGAAAUCAAAAUUUUUGGGUUCCGGGGGGAGUAUGGUCGCAAGGCUGAAACUUAAAGGAAUUGACGGAAGGGCACCACCAGGAGUGGAGCCUGCGGCUUAAUUUGACUCAACACGGGGAAACUCACCAGGUCCAGACAUAAGUAGGAUUGACAGAUUGAUAGCUCUUUCUUGAUUUUAUGGGUGGUGGUGCAUGGCCGUUCUUAGUUGGUGGAGUGAUUUGUCUGGUUAAUUCCGUUAACGAACGAGACCUUAACCUGCUAAAUAGUUGUGCCAACUUUGGUUGGCAUCGACUUCUUAGAGGGACUAUGGAUAUUUAAUCCAUGGAAGU